This 494-nucleotide ribosomal RNA is filed under the name uncultured bacterium. RNAcentral describes it as "bacterial SSU rRNA". It matches the Rfam family "Bacterial small subunit ribosomal RNA", at positions 96 to 586 of the family's 1533-position model. The record is from RNAcentral.
UGGCGAACGGGUGAGUAAUGCAUCGGAACGUGCCCAGUAGUGGGGGAUAACUAUCCGAAAGGAUAGCUAAUACCGCAUACGCACUGAGGUGGAAAGCGGGGGAUCGCAAGACCUCGCGCUAUUGGAGCGGCCGAUGGCAGAUUAGCUAGUUGGUGGGGUAAAGGCCUACCAAGGCGACGAUCUGUAGCUGGUCUGAGAGGACGACCAGCCACACUGGGACUGAGACACGGCCCAGACUCCUACGGGAGGCAGCAGUGGGGAAUUUUGGACAAUGGGGGCAACCCUGAUCCAGCAAUGCCGCGUGUGUGAAGAAGGCCUUCGGGUUGUAAAGCACUUUUGGCGGGAGCGAAACGGCCUGGGUUAAUACCCUGGGCUAAUGACGGUACCCGCAGAAUAAGCACCGGCUAACUACGUGCCAGCAGCCGCGGUAAUACGUAGGGUGCAAGCGUUAAUCGGAAUUACUGGGCGUAAAGCGAGCGCAGGCGGUUAUGUAA